GACCUGGGCUUUGCUCCACUUGGAGUCAGCUGAUUGGUGGGAGGGCACCUGAAAUUGAGAUGAGGUUUCAGGACUUUUACCCAGUCCUUUGGUGAUCUGCAGGAGCCCACUCCAUCCAGGAUCCAGCCCUGGAGGAAAACAGCCCUCACUGCCCCAGCAGGGGUCACUCUUUUCAGGACGCUGGAGCACUUCUCCUAACUGUGCCAGUUUUCAUGGAGAAAAGAAGCAUGUGAACUAUUCCAUAGGUUAUCUAAAGCGCUUGCCACCAU
Non-coding RNA from Macaca mulatta (Rhesus monkey), 269 nucleotides. Lineage: Eukaryota; Metazoa; Chordata; Mammalia; Primates; Cercopithecidae. The record is from RefSeq and is a predicted model, not a curated record.